ACCCAAUAGAUACCCUGGUAGUCCACGCGGUAAACGAUGAGUACUAGGUGUAGGAGGAGUGAAAUCCUUCUGUGCCGAAAGCAAAAACGCGCUAAGUACUCCGCCUGGGGAGUACGGCCGCAAGGCUAAAAACUCAAAGGAAUUGACGGGGGCCCGGCACAAGCAGCGGAGCGUGUGGUUUAAAAUUCGAUGCAACACGAAGAACCUUACCUGGGUUUGACAUCUGCGUAGUAGUGAACUGAAAGGGGUAACGACUCUUCGGAGAGCGCAGACAGGUGCUGCAUGGCUGUCGUCAGCUCGUGCCGUGAGAUGUUGGGUUAAAGUCCCGCAACGAGCGCAACCCCGUAUUGCCAGUUACAAGUGUCUGGCGAGACUGCC
RNAcentral lists this ribosomal RNA (378 nucleotides) under uncultured bacterium. RNAcentral describes it as "bacterial SSU rRNA". It matches the Rfam family "Bacterial small subunit ribosomal RNA", at positions 770 to 1153 of the family's 1533-position model. The record is from RNAcentral.